RNAcentral lists this transfer RNA (72 nucleotides) under Raeta sp. Its description in RNAcentral is "tRNA-Ser". The record is from RNAcentral. Lineage: Eukaryota; Metazoa; Mollusca; Bivalvia; Venerida; Anatinellidae.
GAGAAAAAAAGGUUUUGUAGUCUUAUACUUCUAAUUUAGGGCUAGGGGUGGUUCAAAUCUAUCCUUUUCUCA